Molecule: ribosomal RNA, 379 nt
Filed under: uncultured cyanobacterium
Lineage: Bacteria; Bacillati; Cyanobacteriota
Description: bacterial SSU rRNA
Rfam family: Bacterial small subunit ribosomal RNA
Source: RNAcentral
CGAAAGCCUGACGGAGCAAGACCGCGUGGGGGAGGAAUGCCUUAGGGUUGUAAACCUCUUUUCUCAGGGAAGAAGCUCUGACGGUACCUGAGGAAUCAGCCUCGGCUAACUCCGUGCCAGCAGCCGCGGUAAUACGGAGGGGGCAAGCGUUAUCCGGAAUUAUUGGGCGUAAAGCGUCCGCAGGUGGCGAUUCAAGUCUGCUGUCAAAGCACGGGGCUUAACUCCGUAAAGGCAGUGGAAACUGAAUAGCUAGAGUGCCGUAGGGGUAGAGGGAAUUCCCGGUGUAGCGGUGAAAUGCGUAGAGAUCGGGAAGAACAUCGGUGGCGAAAGCGCUCUGCUGGGCCGCAACUGACACUCAGGGACGAAAGCUAGGGGAGCG